Hydra vulgaris (swiftwater hydra) is the source of this 542-nucleotide non-coding RNA. The record is from RefSeq and is a predicted model, not a curated record. NCBI's taxonomy places the organism in Eukaryota, Metazoa, Cnidaria, Hydrozoa, Anthoathecata, Hydridae.
UAACAAACAGCAUAAAAACAUGUGUGAUAACAAUUGGAUACAUUUAGCAAGUCUUGAAGAAAAUGUGCAAGCAACAAUUAGACUUGUUGUUAAUACUGAUGGAAUUCCUGUUUUUAAAUUAUCAAAGUGGACCUUGUGGCCUUUGCUAGCAUCCAUUCAUAAUUUUCCAUAUUCAUUGCAAAUUACUAAUAUUUUGUUUUUUGGUUUCUGGUCCAGUUUUAAAAAACCAAACGUGCAAUUAUUUUUAUCUUGUUUUGUUGAUUUUUUACUAACCUAUCCACUACUGGUAUACUCUUAUCUAAUAAUGUUCGUGUUUUUUUUCAUGUAUCUAUUUUUUUGUGUGAUACAAUUGCAGGAGCUAUGGUUUUUUGUUGUAGGUAGUUUAAUGAUUAUAAUGGUUGCCAUUGGUGUUCUUCUCAAGGGGUAAGAGUUAAAAAAAGAAGACACUGUACUGUUGUAAAUAAUCUUUUAUCUGCAAUCAGUGUGCCAAGCAAUAUAAGACAGACUCGAUGAUCAUUAAGUUGUAUAAAGCAUUGGAAAGG